AACGAACGCUGGCGGCAUGCCUAACACAUGCAAGUCGAACGAGACCUUCGGGUCUAGUGGCGCACGGGUGCGUAACGCGUGGGAACCUGCCCUUAGGUUCGGAAUAACUCCCCGAAAGGGGUGCUAAUACCGGAUAAUGCCUUCGGACCAAAGAUUUAUCGCCUUUGGAUGGGCCCGCGUUGGAUUAGCUAGUUGGUAGGGUAAAAGCCUACCAAGGCGACGAUCCAUAGCUGGUCUGAGAGGAUGAUCAGCCACACUGGGACUGAGACACGGCCCAGACUCCUACGGGAGGCAGCAGUGGGGAAUAUUGGACAAUGGGCGAAAGCCUGAUCCAGCAAUGCCGCGUGAGUGAUGAAGGCCUUAGAGUUGUAAAGCUCUUUUACCCGGGAUGAUAAUGACAGUACCGGGAGAAUAAGCUCCGGCUAACUCCGUG
RNAcentral lists this ribosomal RNA (433 nucleotides) under uncultured bacterium. RNAcentral's name for it is "partial 16S ribosomal RNA". It matches the Rfam family "Bacterial small subunit ribosomal RNA", at positions 29 to 507 of the family's 1533-position model. The record is from RNAcentral.